This 490-nucleotide ribosomal RNA is filed under the name uncultured bacterium. RNAcentral describes it as "bacterial SSU rRNA". It matches the Rfam family "Bacterial small subunit ribosomal RNA", at positions 28 to 480 of the family's 1533-position model. The record is from RNAcentral.
GACGAACGCUGGCGGUGUGCCUAAUACAUGCAAGUCGAACGCACUCUCGUUUAGAUUGAAGGAGCUUGCUCCUGAUUGAUAAACAUUUGAGUGAGUGGCGGACGGGUGAGUAACACGUGGGUAACCUGCCCUAAAGUGGGGGAUAACAUUUGGAAACAGAUGCUAAUACCGCAUAAAACCUAACACCGCAUGGUGUAGGGUUGAAAGAUGGUUUCGGCUAUCACUUUAGGAUGGACCCGCGGUGCAUUAGUUAGUUGGUGAGGUAAAGGCUCACCAAGACCGUGAUGCAUAGCCGACCUGAGAGGGUAAUCGGCCACACUGGGACUGAGACACGGCCCAGACUCCUACGGGAGCAGCAGUAGGGAGUCUUCCACAAUGGACGAAAGUCUGAUGGAGCAACGCCGCGUGAGUGAAGAAGGUUUUCGAUCGUAAACUCUGUUGUUGGAGAAGAAUGUAUCUGAUAGUAACUGAUCAGGUAGUGACGGUAUCC